AUACGGAGGGAGCAAGCGUUAUUCGGAAUCACUGGGCGUAAAGGACGCGUAGGCGGGUUUGUAAGUCAGGUGUGAAAUCCUACAGCUCAACUGUAGAACUGCACUUGAAACUACAGACCUAGAGUAUGGAAGGGGCAGAUGGAAUUGUGGUGUAGGGGUAAAAUCCGUAGAUAUCACUAGGAAUACCGAAAGCGAAGGCGAUCUGCUGGGACAUUACUGACGCUGAGGCGUGAAAGCGUGGGGAGCAAACAGGAUUAGAAACCCUAGUAGUCC
This 273-nucleotide ribosomal RNA is filed under the name uncultured bacterium. Its description in RNAcentral is "partial 16S ribosomal RNA". It matches the Rfam family "Bacterial small subunit ribosomal RNA", at positions 523 to 796 of the family's 1533-position model. The record is from RNAcentral.